UGAACGCUGGCGGCGUGCUUAACACAUGCAAGUCGCACGAGAACGCUUCAGCUUGCUGAAGUUAGUAAAGUGGCGCACGGGUGAGUAACGCGUGGGUAAUCUACCCUCGAAUUGGGGAUAACCCGCCGAAAGGCGGGCUAAUACCGAAUAAUAUCUUAAAAAUCUCGAUUUUAAAGAUCAAAGGAGGCCUCUACUUGUAAGCUUCUGUUUGAGGAUGAGCCCGCGUACCAUUAGCUUGUUGGUAGGGUAAUGGCCUACCAAGGCUACGAUGGUUAGCUGGUCUGAGAGGAUGAUCAGCCACACUGGAACUGACACACGGUCCAGACUCCUACGGGAGGCAGCAGUGAGGAAUUUUGCGCAAUGGGGGAAACCCUGACGCAGCAACGCCGCGUGAGUGAUGAAGGCUUUCGGGUCGUAAAGCUCUGUCAAGUGGGAAGAACCCACAUGGUGUUAAUACCACCAUGUGUUGACGGUACCACUGAAGGAAGCACCGGCUAACUCC
Molecule: ribosomal RNA, 502 nt
Filed under: uncultured bacterium
Lineage: Bacteria
Description: bacterial SSU rRNA
Rfam family: Bacterial small subunit ribosomal RNA
Source: RNAcentral